This 788-nucleotide ribosomal RNA is filed under the name uncultured bacterium. RNAcentral's name for it is "bacterial SSU rRNA". It matches the Rfam family "Bacterial small subunit ribosomal RNA", at positions 89 to 901 of the family's 1533-position model. The record is from RNAcentral.
AGACCCACGGCGAACGGGUGAGUAAUACCUAGGAACAUCCCUCUAGUUGAGCAUAACCUGCCGAAAGGCAGGAUAAUACUCGAUGUGAUCGCAAGAUUAAAGUCGCAAGACGCUAGAGAAAUGGCCUGGGCACCAUCAGCUAGUUGGUAGGGUAAAGGCCUACCAAGGCUAUGACGGUUAGGGGCCCCGAGAGGGGAAGCCCCCACACUGGAACUGCGACACGGUCCAGACUCCUACGGGAGGCAGCAGUUUGGAAUUUUGGACAAUGGGCGAAAGCCUGAUCCAGCGACGCCGCGUGGACGAUGAAGGCCUUCGGGUUGUAAAGUCCUUUUGCAAGGGAAGAAUUUCAUGACGGUACCUUGCGAAUAAGAGGUUGCUAACUCUGUGCCAGCAGCAGCGGUAAUACAGAGACCUCAAGCGUUAUCCGGAAUCAUUGGGCGUAAAGCGUACCGAUAGGUGGUUAUACAAGUCAGAAGUGAAAUCUCCGAGCUCAACUCGGAAUCUGUCUUUUGAAACUGUAUGACUAGAGGGGCAAAGAGGAAGCUGGAACGAACGGUGUAGUAGUGAAAUGCGUUGAUAUCGUUCGGAACACCAAUAGCGUAGGCAGGCUUCUGGGUGCCACCUGACACUGCUAGGACGAAAGCGUGGGGAGCGAAUGGGAUUAGAUACCCCAGUAGUCCACGCUGUAAACGAUGAUAAUUAGGUGCUAGGGAGUAUCGACCCUCUUUAGUACCAUAGCUAACGCGUUAAAUUAUCCGCCUGGGGAGUACGGCCGCAAGGCUAAAACU